CAAUAGCGUAUAUUAAAGUUGUUGCGGUAAAAAAGCUCGUAGUUGGAUUUCUACCGAAGAUAGCCGGUCGGGUCUUCGACCUUGUAUCUGGUUUUGUCUUUGGUAUCCUCAUAGGGAACGUUUCUGCGCUUUAUUGCGUGGUGCGGUAUCUAUGACUUUUACUUUGAGGAAAUUAGAGUGUUCACGGCAGGCAAACGCCUUGAAUAUAUUAGCAUGGAAUAAUAACAUAGGAUCUUCGUCCUAUUUUGUUGGUUUCUAGGGCUAAGAUAAUGACUAAUAGGGAUAAUUGGGGGCAUCUGUAUCAACGCGUCAGAGGUGGAAUUCUUGGAUUGCGUUGCGACAAACUACUGCGAAAGCAUUUGCCAAGGAUGUUUUCAUUGA
This 381-nucleotide ribosomal RNA is filed under the name uncultured eukaryote. RNAcentral's name for it is "partial 18S ribosomal RNA". It matches the Rfam family "Eukaryotic small subunit ribosomal RNA", at positions 592 to 976 of the family's 1831-position model. The record is from RNAcentral.